CACACCAACAUCAAUUGUCAAGCAGUGAUGGAGGACAAACACAGAGACAAUGACAUACGUACAUACAUACAAAUAUAAUUGGCAUGAAACUGCUGAUAUUUUGCAUCAUUGACUGAAGCGGGAAAACUCAGCUGCAAAUAUUCCAUGUAUCGUGUCUUUGUCUAAUUUCCCAUCUAUUAAGUUUCUGUCUAGUUUCCUGUUUGCUUUCAUCUAACUUGUAAUCUUUCUGUUCAACCCUUGAUAUAUAUAUAUCGGGUACAUGCCAUGAGUAAUUACUCAGGGUAGGCAGCUGGUGACGUUUAAUGUAGUAAAACACACACAAAAAUAAGCAAAGCACAGACACGCAACUGAGUUGGAGACAGAUUUGUUUCUGCCUUUAUAGCGCAUAAAGUAAAACGUUGUUGUAGGAGUGUACGCAGCAUGUGAACUACAGCAGUAUUAUGCAUAGCUUAAAUACUGAGAUAGAAAAGCAGGGGCAAAUUAUGCCAAACUAAUCUACAAAAAAAUAAACUAUUUUGCAUUUUAUGCAUAGUAAUCAGAGUAACCUUCAUAAUUUUAUUGAAUAAGGUGCAUCUUUUGCCAUAAGAGGAAAAUGUUACUAUCGCUCUAUUUUAUUCAGGGUAGGCACUGCCUACCUUGCCUACCCAGGUGACACAUCCCUGAUAUAUGUGUGUGUCUGUGUGUGUGUGUGU
This is a long non-coding RNA of Octopus sinensis (East Asian common octopus), 692 nucleotides long. RefSeq lists it as uncharacterized. NCBI's taxonomy places the organism in Eukaryota, Metazoa, Mollusca, Cephalopoda, Octopoda, Octopodidae. The record is from RefSeq and is a predicted model, not a curated record. The transcript is spliced from 3 exons.